Molecule: RNA transcript, 4676 nt
Organism: Olea europaea var. sylvestris
Lineage: Eukaryota; Viridiplantae; Streptophyta; Magnoliopsida; Lamiales; Oleaceae
Exons: 10
Source: RefSeq, a predicted model, not a curated record
AACUUUUUUUUUUUUUUUUUACACUGUUGUUUUUAUUCAUCUGAUGAUUUCUCAUCCAACCCUACUCUCCAUCGUCCUCUUGCAAAAUUAAAAAAUCUCUCCCCAAAAAUAUCAAUUCUAACUGUGAAAUUGAAAUCCUCAGAAGAUCGUUUAAUCUUUUUUUCUCUAUUAUUGUUUGAAUAUCUUUCUUUUUGUUGUUAAUCGCUUGUUUCUUUCGCCCCUCGCUUGGUUCAAAUUCGACGAACAAGAGGAAAUUUUUCAUAGAAAGUAUACUGUAACACCUUUAUCCUACUUUAUCUCUUGCCUUUUGUUGAGUAUGCUUUUUUGAUUUCUAUAUUCCUAUUUCUCUUCGAUCGAUCUCUACUUUGUGUUUAGGAUUUUCUAAAUUGUAUUGAGAUUUUCUGUCAUCUCCAUCUUUUGCUUGUUCUUUUGUGUAUUUGUUCGAUUUUUAGAUCUGCAUUUUGUUAAUUAUUUUCGUGUUGGGGUUUUUUCGAACUCUGUACGAGUUUCUAUUUCAUUUUUUCCAUCUCUUCUUUCUACAUGUGUACAUCUUCGGCUUUUUUCUUACCUCUAUUUUAUUUAUUUUAUUAUUUGUUUUAUAUGUUUUGGGCUUUUCUCAGAUUUGUUCUACAUGGUUAAAUUAAAUUUAUUCGAGUUGUUCACAUGAAAAGUUCCAUUGGAAGUAAUUUUUCGUAAAUAAUUGCUCCUUUAAACUAUAGUAGGCUUCUAGGGGGAUUUCUUUCUAAAUUUAAUGAUGCCCGUUUUGGAAGAGACUCAAAAUUUAUACUUGAACAAGGAUUCAUCAUUUAGAGCUGUUAUUAAGAAGAAAUGUAGCUUAAAUGCUACCAAUGUUGGUAAAGAGGUUGGCUUUGCCCCUAAUAUUUAGGUUGAACGUUUUAUUUUGGUGGUUUUACUUUCUCGCCCUUCAAUUUCUACAAUAGACAUUUACAGUAUUAUGUUUGUUCAAUUUCAAGAGAACAAAGGUCUUCAAUUGAUCAAGACAACCAUUGCUAAAGUAGGUUAUACAGCAAAAGUUCCUUCUUCCCUUUUCUUUUCACGUAUGUGUUCAGUUCAUUCAAUGUUCUAUAAUCACCUUGUAUUUCUUCUGUCUUCACCUUGUGAAAGAGUAAAACUUCUAAGGCUUGCUCCUUCCUUCUACUCAAGUUGUCAUUGGAAUAAUGUUGCUGCAUCAGAAUUUUAUAGAUUGGACAAGACUUAUGAUUUGAAAUUGUCAAGGCAAUGGAUGCAAGCAAUCCUGUCAUUUAAGCUCAAUUCGUAUUAUCGAAGGUUCUGACUACAUUAGGAUAUCAAAGCAGCUUUGAAAAUCAGGUCUACUCCAAAUUCAUUCUGAUUUCAAAUGCUUAACUAAUUUAUUUUUUGAAUCUGGCAGCUGAUCUUGCCUUUUUUGCAGUUGGAUAUAAACUACUAUGACCUUGGCCUUCCCCAGUGGGAUGUUACUAAUGACUAGAAAACCAUUCAAGUUGCAUAAGCUACUUUUAAGUUUGACAUCCUAUGUUCUCGAUUUUGAAUAAAUAUUGAACUUCUAAUAAUAGGGCUUCAAUAUCUUCAUUUUCUCAUUUGCUUCACAAUAUUUGCAGUAGAGAUAAAAUUUUCAACAUCUGUAUUUUUAAGUUUUCUAUUACAAUUUUCGUAAAUAUUUAUUCGUUCUUCUUCUUAGUUGAUAGUUGUUUUGUACAUUGAAAAUGUUGGCUCAAUUUAGUAAUUAAAUGUGCCACCAUUUCUCCUGGUAGGCACAACUCAUCUUAAAUUGUUCGAUGCUAUGCGUCAUUUUAUCUUUAAAUUAUGAAUCAGAUCAUUAUCCUUUCUACACAUUAAGGCUUUGUUUGCCUAUCAUUAUACAAUAUUGUUUUUUGUACAAUACUCAUUUUUAACCACAUAUUCUUCAAUAAAAAAAUAUUACACGUAAAUAAAAAAAUUUCCUUCUUUUUGAACCACACAUUUCAAUAUCAAUUACUGUUCUAUGAUAUAUUCUUCACAAAUAAUGGGGCACAAACAUCCCCUAAUAAAAGAGGAAAUGUGGUGUGCACUGUUCAUUUUUGUCCCCUCCUGUUCAUCAAAAUAUAUUUGGUAUAUAUUAUAUAUAUGUCUUUUGUACCUCUUGUAAGACCAUUUAUACCUUCCUAAUCUCUCCAAAGAAUCGUAGGCAGCCAUUAACUCCGAUAGACUUCAACGACGAGGACGACAAAGACGAAGACAUGACGAAUAAGGUUUCGGCGCGAUACCUGGUGUUGGAUAAGUUUUUGUUUUGGGUUCUCUAUUUUCCUUCUUUCUAAUCUUACUUUCUAAGUUUAGUCGACAUAUUUCUUUGCUUAAAUUUGCAGGUUUUGAGUAUAUAUGAUAUCUGGGCAUCUCAUAAAUAGCUUAAAUAGUUCUUUAGUUUUGGGAAUUCCAUAUUCUGAUUUUUUGAGACAUUUCAUAAAAUAUUUAUCAUCAAGAUGGUCGAAGUAUUAUGCUACCGUAGAAUAUUGUAAAGAGUUUUUUUGAUCUCAGGGCCACCACUAAGAUACAUUGAUCAGAAUUCUUUGGUGGAAAGGCCAAGGGGUUUGCCUUCGGUCAGAUAGAGGACCAUGCAAAAAUUCCGAGAUACAAAAGAUGGUGCUUGAUGGUGAAGCACGACUGGCAGGAAGGUGGUUGAAAUUCUUAACGACGACAAAGAGAUAGUUUAUGCUGAGCAACACUACUUGAUUGUAUAGACUAUGUCUGUUGUGCAUAUGAUUAGGCACAACUGCACAAUAUUUCUGUUUUAUGUGAGAUUUUUUUUUUAUUUAGUUGUUGAAGCAGGUAAAGGCAGUGACACCUCAACUGUUGAAUCUGGUUCUGAAGCUGAAAAAUAUUUCUUCACCAAAAGCUAUUCAGAGUUACUCGCACCUUUGAUUGACUCAUGUUCGUGAGGAGGUUAAAGCUAAUGGAAACUCUAGCUCGGCAACUUAUCACGAUAUGAUGAGUACGUUCCUAUGGUUGACAAAGUUGUUGAUUCUGGAUGGAAAAAGCAUAAAUCACUUUCAAAACCUUAUAUUUUUUAAGGUAUAAGAUAAGAGAGAAGGAAAAAAUUGUUCAAGCAUAUUCUUCUUAGGAUCUUGAAGAAAUUUUUAGCUUUGGUAAAAGAAGAGGAUGCUUGAUAAACCCAUCUAAGAAACUGGAAGGAAAAUGACUUUUUACAGGCACAAGAAAAGAAACUUAUUGUGGAGAUUAAAAAAAAUGUAAAGCAAGGACAGAUGGCGACACCUGAAUUUGAAUAGGGGAAAAAGGAUUCUAUGCGCAGUCGUGAAAGCUAGAACAGGCCAUUCGCCAGGGAGAUUUUGAAAUUGCGGAGGCUUGGUUUGAUCAAGCAUAACAUAGGUGUUAUGGGUAGAAUUUUGUUCACAUCUUAGAUCUAGGAAUUUACUCAGUUUCCAUGAAGGGGUCGAAUUCGUUAUGUAUGGAUGAUGAGAUUCCAUUGAUACAGAGCCAAUUCCAAUGGACUUAUUGGAGGGUCCCGUUGGCGUGCAUCCGGGCUGUGUCUCAGUCCUAGUGUGAGUGAUCAUCCGAAAAGACCAGGUAAGCAUCAUGGGGCCCGCUAUGCCAAAAAUGAGAGAAACCCCAUUCCUGCAUCUUCCGAGUCAUACCCGAAAUGAGUACUUUGCCCUGGAGAUCUAAAUCCAAAGCAGUUUCUAUCCCUUAUGGCAGUUAUAGGAAUUAAUGAAUUGCUUCUUUCAUCAAUACUCAUUGAAUGAGACAUCCAUUUUGAAUACACUGGAACUCAAUGAGACAAAUUAAUGGUCCAUAAAACUUGAAAAAAUAGAAAGAAAGAAAAAAAAAGUGAUUGAGACAACAACGUGGUAGCCAAAAGAGAUCAACACAUUUUGUAAUUCUUACUUCUAAGGCCAUCUCCAACUGGUGCCAUGUCGCACCAUUUUGGUGGAAAAUGGUACAACACUGUUCAUUGCAUUUUUUGAUGAUUUUUAUUGAUCAAGCGACACGCAAAUUUGAAUAGAGGGAAAAUGAUUCUAUGCGCAGACGUGAAAGCUAGAACAAGCCAUUAGCUAGAAAGAUUCUGAAAUUGUGGAGGCUUGGUUUGAUCAAGCAGUGACAUAGGUGUUAUAGGUAGAAUUUUGUUCACAUCUUAGAUCUAGGAAUUUACUCAUCUUCCAUAAAGGAUCCGAAUUCGUUAUGUAUGGAUGAUGAGAUUCUAUUGAUACAGAGCCAAUUCCAAUAGACGUAUUGCAGAGUCCCAUUGGCAUGCAUCUGAGUUGUGUCUCAAUCCCAGUGUGGCCGAUCGUCCGUAAAGACCGGCUAAGCAUCAUGGGGACCGCUAUGCCAAAAGUGAGAGAAACCCCAUCCGUGCAUCUUCCGAGUCAUGCCCGGAAUGAGUACUUUGCCCUUAAGAUCUAUCCAAAGCAGUUCCUGCCCCUUCUGACAGUUAUCAGAAUUAAUGAGUUGCUUCUUUCAUCAAUACUCAUUGAUUGACACAUCCAUUUUGAUUACAUUGGAGCUCAAUGAAACAAAUUAAUGGUCUACAAAACCUGAAAAGUAGAAAGAAAGAAAGAAAGAAAAGCAUUGAGACAUGUGGUAGCCAAAAGAGAUCAACACAUUUUGUAGUUCUAACUUCUAAGGCCAUCUCCAAUUGGUGCCCUAUUGCUAUGGCUGGGCAAAUCUCUCGAACCGAACCGAUCAAA